Molecule: non-coding RNA, 27 nt
Filed under: Homo sapiens (human)
Lineage: Eukaryota; Metazoa; Chordata; Mammalia; Primates; Hominidae
Source: RNAcentral
UAGAAUCAGUCAAGAGGAAUUGGGCCC